RNAcentral lists this ribosomal RNA (1366 nucleotides) under uncultured bacterium. RNAcentral's name for it is "16S ribosomal RNA". It matches the Rfam family "Bacterial small subunit ribosomal RNA", at positions 51 to 1425 of the family's 1533-position model. The record is from RNAcentral.
ACACAUGCAAGUCGAGCGGUAAGGCCCUUCGGGGUACACGAGCGGCGAACGGGUGAGUAACACGUGAGCAACCUGCCCCUGACUCCGGGAUAAGCGGUGGAAACGCCGUCUAAUACCGGAUAUGACCAGCCACCUCAUGGUCGNGUGGAAAGUUUUAUCGGUCAGGGAUGGGCUCGCGGCCUAUCAGCUUGUUGGUGGGGUAACGGCCUACCAAGGCAUUACGCGGUAGCCGNCCUGAGAGGACGACCGGCCACACUGGGACUGAGACACUGCCCAGACUCNUGCGGGAGGCAGCAGUAGGGAAUAUUGCACAAUGGCGAAAGCCUGAUGCAGCGACGCCGCGUGGGGGAUGACGGCUUCGGGUUGUAAACCUCUUUUACCACCANAGCAGGCUCCAACGUUUNNGUGGGGUUGACGGUAGGUGGGGAAUAAGGACCGGCUAACUACGUGCCAGCAGCCGCGGUAAUACGUAGGGUCCGAGCGUUGUCCGGAAUUAUUGGGCGUAAAGAGCUCGUAGGCGGCAUGUCGCGUCUGCUGUGAAAGACCGGGGCUUAACUCCGGUUCNGCAGUGGAUACGGGCAUGCUAGAGGUAGGUAGGGGAAACUGGAAUUCCUGGUGUAGCGGUGAAAUGCGCAGAUAUCAGGAGGAACACCGGUGGCGAAGGCGGGUUUCUGGGCCUUACCUGACGCUGAGGAGCGAAAGCAUGGGGAGCGAACAGGAUUAGAUACCCUGGUAGUCCAUGCCGUAAACGUUGGGCGCUAGGUGUGGGGACUUUCCACGGUUUCCGCGCCGUNNNNNAACGCAUUAAGCGCCCGCCUGGGGAGUACGGCGCAAGGCUAAAACUCAAAGGAAUUGACGGGGGCCGCACAAGCGGCGGAGCAUGUUGCUUAAUUCGAGCAACGCGAAGAACCUUACCAAGGUUUGACAUCACCCGUGGACCUGUAGAGAUNCAGGGUCAUUUAGUUGGUGGGUGACAGGUGGUGCAUGGCUGUCGUCAGCUCGUGUCGUGAGAUGUUGGGUUAAGUCCCGCAACGAGCGCAACCCUUGUUCUAUGUUGCCAGCACGUCAUGGUGGGACUCAUAGGAGACUGCCGGGGUCAACUCGGAGGAAGGUGGGGACGACGUCAAGUCAUCAUGCCCCUUAUGUCUUGGGCUGCAAACAUGCUACAAUGGCCGGUACAAUGGGCGUGCGAUACCGUAAGGUGGAGCGAAUCCCUUAAAGCCGGUCUCAGUUCGGAUUGGGGUCUGCAACUCGACCCCAUGAAGGUGGAGUCGCUAGUAAUCGCGGAUCAGCAACGCCGCGGUGAAUACGUUCCCGGGCCUUGUACACACCGCCCGUCACGUCAUGAAAGUCGGCAACACCCGAA